CCUACGGGAGGCAGCAGUGGGGAAUAUUGCACAAUGGGCGCAAGCCUGAUGCAGCCAUGCCGCGUGUGUGAAGAAGGCCUUCGGGUUGUAAAGCACUUUCAGCGGGGAGGAAGGCGUUAAGGUUAAUAACCUUGGCGAUUGACGUUACCCGCAGAAGAAGCACCGGCUAACUCCGUGCCAGCAGCCGCGGUAAUACGGAGGGUGCAAGCGUUAAUCGGAAUUACUGGGCGUAAAGCGCACGCAGGCGGUCUGUCGAGUCGGAUGUGAAAUCCCCGGGCUCAACCUGGGAACUGCAUUCGAAACUGGCAGGCUAGAGUCUUGUAGAGGGGGGUAGAAUUCCAGGUGUAGCGGUGAAAUGCGUAGAGAUCUGGAGGAAUACCGGUGGCGAAGGCGGCCCCCUGGACAAAGACUGACGCUCAGGUGCGAAAGCGUGGGGAGCAAACAGGAUUAGAUACCCGGGUAGUC
RNAcentral lists this ribosomal RNA (465 nucleotides) under uncultured Klebsiella sp. RNAcentral describes it as "bacterial SSU rRNA". It matches the Rfam family "Bacterial small subunit ribosomal RNA", at positions 338 to 795 of the family's 1533-position model. Lineage: Bacteria; Pseudomonadati; Pseudomonadota; Gammaproteobacteria; Enterobacterales; Enterobacteriaceae. The record is from RNAcentral.